UACGUAGGGGGCUAGCGUUGUUCGGAAUUACUGGGCGUAAAGGGCUCGUAGGCGGCCAACUAAGUCGGACGUGAAAUCCCCAGGCUCAACCUGGGAACUGCGUCCGAUACUGGAUGGCUUGAAUCCGGGAGAGGGAUGCAGAAUUCCAGGUGUAGCGGUGAAAUGCGUAGAUAUCUGGAGGAAUACCGGUGGCGAAGGCGGCAUCCUGGACCGGCAUUGACGCUGAGGAGCGAAAGCCAGGGGAGCAAACGGG
This 253-nucleotide ribosomal RNA is filed under the name uncultured bacterium. Its description in RNAcentral is "partial 16S ribosomal RNA". It matches the Rfam family "Bacterial small subunit ribosomal RNA", at positions 524 to 776 of the family's 1533-position model. The record is from RNAcentral.